This 578-nucleotide ribosomal RNA is filed under the name uncultured bacterium. RNAcentral describes it as "bacterial SSU rRNA". It matches the Rfam family "Bacterial small subunit ribosomal RNA", at positions 66 to 632 of the family's 1533-position model. The record is from RNAcentral.
ACGGUAGCACAGGAGAGCUUGCUCUCUGGGUGACGAGUGGCGGACGGGUGAGUAAUGCAUGGGGAGCUGCCCAAUCGAGGGGGAUACCAGCUGGAAACGGCUGCUAAUACCGCAUACGCCCUGAGGGGGAAAGGUGGGGACCUUCGGGCCUACCGCGAUUGGAUGCACCCAUGUGGGAUUAGCUAGUUGGUGAGGUAGCGGCUCACCAAGGCGACGAUCUCUAGCUGGUCUGAGAGGAUGACCAGCCACACUGGAACUGAGACACGGUCCAGACUCCUACGGGAGGCAGCAGUGGGGAAUAUUGCACAAUGGGGGAAACCCUGAUGCAGCCAUGCCGCGUGUGUGAAGAAGGCCUUCGGGUUGUAAAGCACUUUCAGUAGGGAGGAAGGGUUGAUGUCUAAUACGCAUCAACAUUGACGUUACCUACAGAAGAAGCACCGGCUAACUCCGUGCCAUCAGCCGCGGUAAUACGGAGGGUGCAAGCGUUAAUCGGAAUAACUGGGCGUAAAGCGCACGCAUGCGGUUAGAUAAGUCAGAUGUGAAAUCCCCCGGGCUCAACCUGGGAACUGCAUUUGAAA